CACGGGUGAGUAACGCGUGGAUAACCUGUCUUCAUGGUCUGGAAUAAUACGCCAAAGGGGUACUAAUACCGGAUAUUCUUGCUUUUCAUAAGUUAUGCAAGCAAAGGUGGCCUCUGCAUAUGCUACUGCAUGAAGAGGGGUCUGCGUACCAUUAGCUAGUAGGUGGGGUAAUGGCUACCUAGGCGACGAUGGUUAGCGGGUCUGAGAGGAUGAUCCGCCACACUGGCACUGGAACACGGGCCAGACUCCUACGGGAGGCAGCAGUGAGGAAUAUUGCGCAAUGGGGGAAACCCUGACGCAGCGACGCCGCGUGAGUGAAGGAAGGCCUUCGGGUCGUAAAGCUCUGUCAAGAGGAAAGAAGUGUACAAUGGCUAAUACCUGUUGUAUUUGACGGUACCUCUAAAGGAAGCACCGGCUAACUCCGUGCCAGCCGCUGC
RNAcentral lists this ribosomal RNA (437 nucleotides) under uncultured bacterium. RNAcentral describes it as "bacterial SSU rRNA". It matches the Rfam family "Bacterial small subunit ribosomal RNA", at positions 100 to 518 of the family's 1533-position model. The record is from RNAcentral.